RNAcentral lists this ribosomal RNA (497 nucleotides) under uncultured bacterium. RNAcentral's name for it is "partial 16S ribosomal RNA". It matches the Rfam family "Bacterial small subunit ribosomal RNA", at positions 28 to 507 of the family's 1533-position model. The record is from RNAcentral.
GAUGAACGCUGGCGGCGUGCCUAAUACAUGCAAGUCGAGCGAACGGACGAGAAGCUUGCUUCUCUGAUGUUAGCGGCGGACGGGUGAGUAACACGUGGAUAACCUACCUAUAAGACUGGGAUAACUUCGGGAAACCGGAGCUAAUACCGGAUGAUAUUUUGAACCGCAUGGUUCAAAAGUGAAAGACGGUCUUGCUGUCACUUAUAGAUGGAUCCGCGCUGCAUUAGCUAGUUGGUAAGGUAACGGCUUACCAAGGCAACGAUGCAUAGCCGACCUGAGAGGGUGAUCGGCCACACUGGAACUGGGACACGGUUCAGACUCCUACGGGAGGCAGCAGUAGGGAAUCUUCCGCAAUGGGCGAAAGCCUGACGGAGCAACGCCGCGUGAGUGAUGAAGGUCUUCGGAUCGUAAAACUCUGUUAUUAGGGAAGAACAUAUGUGUAAGUAACUGUGCACAUCUUGACGGUACCUAAUCAGAAAGCCACGGCUAACUACGUG